This is a long non-coding RNA of Loxodonta africana (African savanna elephant), 2106 nucleotides long. RefSeq lists it as uncharacterized. Lineage: Eukaryota; Metazoa; Chordata; Mammalia; Proboscidea; Elephantidae. The record is from RefSeq and is a predicted model, not a curated record. The transcript has 3 exons.
AAGGACGGUAGCCACGCUCCUGAAGCCCCAUUGACUGCCGCUGGUUUAGCGUAUCUCCUCCUCCUCAGCAGCCUAAGCCUGGGAGAUUGCAGGUGACCUCUCUUCCAGCUAAAGAUGGGGAGAGUAAGGAUGAGGGCCAUUAGACAUCGGGCCCUCAAGUAUCGGACAAUUGGGACUUUGGAACUCGGGUCGGCCUCCCACGCAGAGUUCGCUUCCCACCGUGGCAGGACCGCUGCAUACCCAGCGCCUGAGCGGUGUGCGCCUCUGCGCCUGCGCGAACUCCCUGAGACGCUGUUUCCCAGAAUGAGCCAACCAUUAAAGAGGCAGCGUGCACCCCAAGCAGCAAGAGUGGCAUCAGAACAUUCCUUCUCCAGGAACUACACUCAGCAUCUCAGCAUCAAGCUGCCAUAGCUUUGAACUGUGUCUGUGAGCAUCUGUGCUUUAUCUCAGUUUAUUUUGUGCAUCAAUUAGCAAGAUGUGUCUUAAGGUAUCAGAAAAGCCUAAGAAAGCUCGUAAGGGUUUUAUGUGUUAUUUGCUAUGAUUUGGUAAAUUAGCUUUUGGGUCUGGGAAUGCUCAAAGUUUUUUCCCGUAUAAACUAACGUUAAUUGUGUCUUCGCUGUACACCAUUUUGCCUUACGAAAAGUUUCAUAGGACCGCUCUGCUUUUGGAUAGCAGGGGAGACCUGUAUGUCUGACCUCCAUCUCAUAGGAACCAGCUUUCUGCUGAUCCUGGUUCUUAUCCCUCAGGAAUCUGGGUGAGUUCAGAUGCUAGACACUAUUUUAGAAGGCAUGAGGUAGAGAUUCACAUUCUGACAUGGAAUGAUGGCCUCAAUAUAUUCUAAAAAUGAAAAAGAACCAAGGUGCAAAAUAGCUUAUGUGUACAGAGGUUUACUAACUGUAUUAUACAAUGAAUUUUUACAAAUCAAUACAAAAAAGAAUCUAAUAAACUAGUAAAGCAAGAAUAUAAGUAGAUGAUUCACAGAAGAAAAACAAGUGGCUGAUAAAUACAUGAAAAUAUGCUCAACAUCAGUAAUAGUCUAAAAAAUCAAGUUACUCAGAUACCAUUUUAUAGUUUUCAGAUUGGAAAAUGUUAAAAAUAUUCAUAAUAUCCAAGGCAUCUUCACACUGUGUUGGUAGGAGUGUGCAAGGAAAGGGUUAACACAGGCCUGUUUUACUCAGUUCUUGUUUAUCUCUGUAACCAUGGCAAUGACCCUGGGCCAACAGCUGACAACUAAACUUCUAGAAUGUUUACACAGUUACUGGUUGAAGAUGUUAUUUUGUAUGCCUGAGGUGUGCCAAGAAGCAAGACAUACCAGGCUGUCAUCAUUGUUUAAUGUAAACAUGAAGAAUCCUGUGUACCUGGUGCCUGGUUUGGGGUCUGCACCAUGGCUGGUUACACGGCAGUACGGAGCCUGGGGCAGUGCAAACAGAGUGCUUGGCUGCUAACCAAAACGUUGGAGAUUCGAGUCCAUUCAGAGGCACCAUGGAAGAAAGGCCUCGUGAUCUACUUUCAAAAAAUCAGUCUUUGAAAACUCUGUGGAGCACAGUUCUACUCUGACACACGUGGAGUCACCAUGAGUGGGAGUUGACCCAACAGCAACUAGUUUACUAGCCUGUUUAAUAUACGACAGCUCACUGCCGUCUGCCCGCUAACUCAUACCAAUGCAUGAGGUCCAAGAUGUGAAUCUUGCCCCUUAGAUGCGGCACCUUUGCACAGCGCGUAACCUGCACACCUGUGUGUGCCAGUCCUGGGAAACACGUUUUACCUUUUAAUUAUCAAGCCAUUGUAUGCAAGAGAUAUUCUGAGUCCCACACCAUCACAGACCCCAACCUGGAUCUUGAUCCCCAUUCCUGACUACAGGGAUAAGGCUCAAGGGUGCAGCAAAACCAUCAACUGCCCAUUUUACCUGGUAAGAUGGAUUGAAUUUUAGACCGUGUCACAAGGUCUCAGCCCAGAGCUGUUCCCCGGCCCCCUGCACCUCCUGACUCCACAGCUGCUCCAGUACUGGGAGAGGUAGAAGGCCUUCAGAGCACAGGCAGAGCCAGGGAUGCCCCUCGGGGUCCUCAAAGUCAUGUUGGGGGAGAGGAAGCCCAGACUCACCUGGCC